AACGAACUCUGGUAUUGAUUGGUGCUUGCAUCAUGAUUUACAUUUGAGUGAGUGGCGAACUGGUGAGUAACACGUGGGAAACCUGCCCAGAAGCGGGGGAUAACACCUGGAAACAGAUGCUAAUACCGCAUAACAACUUGGACCGCAUGGUCCGAGUUUGAAAGAUGGCUUCGGCUAUCACUUUUGGAUGGUCCCGCGGCGUAUUAGCUAGAUGGUGNGGUAACGGCUCACCAUGGCAAUGAUACGUAGCCGACCUGAGAGGGUAAUCGGCCACAUUGGGACUGAGACACGGCCCAAACUCCUACGGGAGGCAGCAGUAGGGAAUCUUCCACAAUGGACGAAAGUCUGAUGGAGCAACGCCGCGUGAGUGAAGAAGGGUUUCGGCUCGUAAAACUCUGUUGUUAAAGAAGAACAUAUCUGAGAGUAACUGUUCAGGUAUUGACGGUAUUUAACCAGAAAGCCACGGCUAACUACGUGCCAGCAGCCGCGGUAAUACGUAGGUGGCAAGCGUUGUCCGGAUUUAUUGGGCGUAAAGCGAGCGCAGGCGGUUUUUUAAGUCUGAUGUGAAAGCCUUCGGCUCAACCGAAGAAGUGCAUCGGAAACUGGGAAACUUGAGUGCAGAAGAGGACAGUGGAACUCCAUGUGUAGCGGUGAAAUGCGUAGAUAUAUGGAAGAACACCAGUGGCGAAGGCGGCUGUCUGGUCUGUAACUGACGCUGAGGCUCGAAAGUAUGGGUAGCAAACAGGAUUAGAUACCCUGGUAGUCCAUACCGUAAACGAUGAAUGCUAAGUGUUGGAGG
Molecule: ribosomal RNA, 799 nt
Filed under: Lactiplantibacillus pentosus
Lineage: Bacteria; Bacillati; Bacillota; Bacilli; Lactobacillales; Lactobacillaceae
Description: bacterial SSU rRNA
Rfam family: Bacterial small subunit ribosomal RNA
Source: RNAcentral